Molecule: unclassified non-coding RNA, 376 nt
Filed under: uncultured Pseudomonadota bacterium
Lineage: Bacteria; Pseudomonadati; Pseudomonadota
Description: uncultured proteobacterium contains 16S-23S intergenic spacer region
Source: RNAcentral
UCCGGUUUGUCACCGGCAGUCUCAUUAGAGUGCCCAACUAAAUGUAGCAACUAAUGACAAGGGUUGCGCUCGUUGCGGGACUUAACCCAACAUCUCACGACACGAGCUGACGACAGCCAUGCAGCACCUGUGUUCAGGUUCUCCUUCGAGCACUCCCACAUCUCUGCGGGAUUCCUGACAUGUCAAGGGUAGGUAAGGUUCCUCGCGUAUCAUCGAAUUAAUCCACAUCAUCCACCGCUUGUGCGGGUCCCCGUCAAUUCCUUUGAGUUUUAAUCUUGCGACCGUACUCCCCAGGCGGGGUGCUUAAUGCGUUUGCUGCGCCACCGAAGAGCAUGCUCCCCGACGGCUAGCACCCAUAGUUUACGGCGUGGACUAC